CGCGGGGUAGAGAAGGAGUAUCUCGCCAGUCUCAUAAGCUGGAGAACGUUGGUGCAAUUCCAACCCCCGCAA
Molecule: transfer RNA, 72 nt
Filed under: Parcubacteria bacterium DG_74_2
Lineage: Bacteria; Candidatus Parcubacteria
Description: tRNA-Met
Rfam family: tRNA
About the family: Transfer RNA (tRNA) molecules are approximately 80 nucleotides in length. Their secondary structure includes four short double-helical elements and three loops (D, anti-codon, and T loops).
Source: RNAcentral